GGGGAUGUGGCUCAGUUGGUAGAGUCCUUGCCUAGCGUGCAGAAGACCUUGGGUUCAAUCCCAGCAUUGCAU
Molecule: transfer RNA, 72 nt
Filed under: Rattus norvegicus (Norway rat)
Lineage: Eukaryota; Metazoa; Chordata; Mammalia; Rodentia; Muridae
Rfam family: tRNA
About the family: Transfer RNA (tRNA) molecules are approximately 80 nucleotides in length.
Source: Rfam by way of RNAcentral